Molecule: ribosomal RNA, 1152 nt
Filed under: Campylobacter coli
Lineage: Bacteria; Pseudomonadati; Campylobacterota; Epsilonproteobacteria; Campylobacterales; Campylobacteraceae
Description: partial 23S ribosomal RNA
Rfam family: Bacterial large subunit ribosomal RNA
Source: RNAcentral
AGAAACUUACAACAAAGAGUCCCUCCCGACUGUUUACCAAAAACACAGCACUCUGCUAACUCGUAAGAGGAUGUAUAGGGUGUGACGCCUGCCCGGUGCUCGAAGGUUAAUUGAUGGGGUUAGCAUUAGCGAAGCUCUUGAUCGAAGCCCGAGUAAACGGCGGCCGUAACUAUAACGGUCCUAAGGUAGCGAAAUUCCUUGUCGGUUAAAUACCGACCUGCAUGAAUGGCGUAACGAGAUGGGAGCUGUCUCAAAGAGGGAUCCAGUGAAAUUGUAGUGGAGGUGAAAAUUCCUCCUACCCGCGGCAAGACGGAGAGACCCCGUGGACCUUUACUACAGCUUGACACUGCUAUUUGGAUAAGAAUGUGCAGGAUAGGUGGGAGGCUUUGAGUAUAUGACGCCAGUUGUAUAUGAGCCAUUGUUGAGAUACCACUCUUUCUUAUUUGGGUAGCUAACCAGCUUGAGUUAUCCUCAAGUGGGACAAUGUCUGGUGGGUAGUUUGACUGGGGCGGUCGCCUCCCAAAUAAUAACGGAGGCUUACAAAGGUUGGCUCAGAACGGUUGGAAAUCGUUCGUAGAGUAUAAAGGUAUAAGCCAGCUUAACUGCAAGACAUACAAGUCAAGCAGAGACGAAAGUCGGUCUUAGUGAUCCGGUGGUUCUGUGUGGAAGGGCCAUCGCUCAAAGGAUAAAAGGUACCCCGGGGAUAACAGGCUGAUCUCCCCCAAGAGCUCACAUCGACGGGGAGGUUUGGCACCUCGAUGUCGGCUCAUCGCAUCCUGGGGCUGGAGCAGGUCCCAAGGGUAUGGCUGUUCGCCAUUUAAAGCGGUACGCGAGCUGGGUUCAGAACGUCGUGAGACAGUUCGGUCCCUAUCUGCCGUGGGCGUAAGAAGAUUGAAGAGAUUUGACCCUAGUACGAGAGGACCGGGUUGAACAAACCACUGGUGUAGCUGUUGUUCUGCCAAGAGCAUCGCAGCGUAGCUAAGUUUGGAAAGGAUAAACGCUGAAAGCAUCUAAGCGUGAAGCCAACUCUAAGAUGAAUCUUCUCUAAGCUCUCUAGAAGACUACUAGUUUGAUAGGCUGGGUGUGUAAUGGAUGAAAGUCCUUUAGCUGACCAGUACUAAUAGAGCGUUUGGCUUAUCUUUAAUAAAGCAU